GAUUUGUCUGGUUAAUUCCGAUAACGAACGAGACCUUAACCUGCUAACUAGUUAUAAUUACCUCGUAAUUAUUAACUUCUUAGAGGGACUAUGUGAAACAACUACAUGGAAGUUUGAGGCAAUAACAGGUCUGUGAUGCCCUUAUAUGUCCUGGGCUGCACGCGUGCUACACUGAUACAUACAACAAGUGCCUAGCCAGUCAUGGUAUGGCAAUCUCGAAUAUGUAUCGUGAUGGGGAUAGAUCUUUGCAAUUAUAGAUCUUGAACGAGGAAUUCCUAGUAAGUGCAAGUCAUCAUCUUGCAUUGAUUAUGUCCCUGCCCUUUGUACACACCGCCCGUCGCUCCUACCGAUACCGGGUGAUCCGGUGAACCUUUUGGACCUUUACAGGAAAGAUAAGUAAACCAUAUCACCUAGAGGAAGGAGAAGUCGUAACAAGGUUUCCGUAGGUGAACCUGCRGAAGGAUCA
This 466-nucleotide ribosomal RNA is filed under the name uncultured ciliate. RNAcentral describes it as "SSU rRNA". It matches the Rfam family "Eukaryotic small subunit ribosomal RNA". Lineage: Eukaryota; Ciliophora. The record is from RNAcentral.